GAAACGACUGCUAAGACUGGAUAGGAGAUAAGAAGGCAUCUGCUUAUUUUUAAAAGACCUAGUAAUAGGUAUGCUUAAGGAGGGGCUUGCGUCACAUUAGUUAGUUGGUAGGGUAAAAGCCUACCAAGACGAUGAUGUGUAGCCGGGCUGAGAGGCUGAACGGCCACAUUGGAACUGAGACACGGUCCAAACUCCUACGGGAGGCAGCAGUAGGGAAUUUUCGGCAAUGGAGGAAACUCUGACCGAGCAACACCGCGUGAAUGAUGAAGUAUUUCGGUAUGUAAAGUUCUUUUAUUAAGGAAGAAAAGAUGGUGGAAAAACCAUUAUGACGGUACUUAAUGAAUAAGCCCCGGCUAACUAUGUGCCAGCAGCCGCGGUAAUACAUAGGGGGCGAGUGUUAUCCGGAAUUAUUGGGCGUAAAGGGUGCGUAGGCGGUUUAAUAAGUUUAUGGUCUAAGUACAAUGCUUAACAUUGUGAUGCUAUAAAAACUGUUUGACUAGAGUUAGAUAGAGGCAAGUGGAAUUCCAUGUGUAGUGGUAAAAUGCGUAAAUAUAUGGAGGAACACCAUAAGCGAAGGCGGCUUGCUGGGUCUUAACUGACGCUGAGGCACGAAAGCGUGGGGAGCAAACAGGAUUAGAUACCCUGGUAGUCCACGCCGUAAACGAUGAGUACUAGACGUUGGGUUAAACCAGUGUCGAAGUUAACACAUUAAGUACUCCGCCUGAGUAGUACGUACGCAAGUAUGAAACUUAAAGGAAUUGACGGGACUCCGCACAAGCGGUGGAUCAUGUUGUUUAAUUCGAAGGUACCCGAAAAACCUCACCAGGUCUUGACAUGCUUCUGCAAAGCUGUAGAAAUAUAGUGGAGGCUAUCAGUUGCACAGGUGGUGCAUGGUUGUCGUCAGCUCGUGUCGUGAGAUGUUGGGUUAAGUCCCGCAACGAGCGCAACCCUUGUUGUUAAUUGCCAUCAUUAAGUUGGGGACUUUAGCAAGACUGCCAGUGAUAAAUUGGAGGAAGGUGGGGACGACGUCAAAUCAUCAUGCCCCUUAUGACCUGGGCUACAAACGUGAUACAAUGGCUGUUACAAAGGGUAGCUGAAGCGUAAGUUUUUGGCAAAUCUCAAAAAAACAGUCUCAGUUCGGAUUGAAGUCUGCAACUCGACUUCAUGAAGUUGGAAUCGCUAGUAAUCGCGAAUCAGCAUGUCGCGGUGAAUACGUUCUCGGGGUUUGUACACACCGCCCGUCA
This 1244-nucleotide ribosomal RNA is filed under the name 'Fragaria x ananassa' phyllody phytoplasma. Its description in RNAcentral is "bacterial SSU rRNA". It matches the Rfam family "Bacterial small subunit ribosomal RNA", at positions 153 to 1399 of the family's 1533-position model. Lineage: Bacteria; Bacillati; Mycoplasmatota; Mollicutes; Acholeplasmatales; Acholeplasmataceae. The record is from RNAcentral.